This 1387-nucleotide long non-coding RNA is filed under the name Homo sapiens (human). RNAcentral describes it as "HSALNT0177744". The record is from RNAcentral. Lineage: Eukaryota; Metazoa; Chordata; Mammalia; Primates; Hominidae.
CCAUCAGGCAUCUUGCAGGAAUGUGUGCAGUCAGCUCCCGGGAAGAACUGACGGCUCCCUGAAUUCUUGGGCUGGAUUUGGGACGCCGGAGGCCUUUGCUGAGUGUCUACCGCGCCUCGAGUUCUGAGCUGGACGCGUCCGGCACGUCAGGUCCCUCCCGAGCUGGAGGCUCUGGAUUCGCACCUUGCAGAAGAGCGAACCGAGGCUUCAGUCACCACCGAGGACCCAGACCCCGCCCGCCGCGGCGCCCCUACGGUCUCCCUGGGCCUGAUCUGGGUUCAGAAGGACGGAGUUCCCGCCAGGACCCACUUACGGAGCGCUGCCUGCCGCACCUGGGGACGUCCCGGCGCAGCGUCCAGAGUGCAGGCUUUGCCGCUGUGGCUUUCACUCUGCAGCGUGGGCCCGGGCGACUCGGGAAACCCGCCUGGGCUUCAGCGCCUCCGAUGUAGGAUGGGAAAAUGAUGCAGACCUACCUGCGAGGCUGCUUUAAGACAUGAAUCAGAUGUGAAGAGCGACUAGUUGAGAGCCUGACGGGCAGCACUGCGCGAGUCUUGGUCAUUUCAUCUUUUCCGCAAGUUUUUUUUUUUUUCCAGACGUUGUUUCACUCUUGUCACCCAGGCUGGAGUGCAAUGGCGCCAUCUCGGCUCACUGCAACCUCUGCCUCCCGGGUUCAAGUGAUUCUCCUGCCUCAACCUCCCGUGUAGCUGGGAUUACAGGCGCACGCCACCAAGUCCAGAUAAUUUUGUAUUUUUAGUAGAGACGGGAUUUCUACAUGUUGGUCGAGCUGGUCUCGAACUCCUGACCUCAGGUGGUCUGCCCGCCUCAGCCUCCCAAAGUGUUGGGAUUACAGGCGUGAGCCACUGCGCCCGGCCUCAGCAAGAAUUUUUAAACAUCUACUAUGGGCCAAGUCUUGUGCUAGAUGUUGCAGAUACGGAGAUGAAUAGAGACACCUCUAAUUAAUUAAAGCGGAUGCCCUCCCCACUCCUCCCAGGAUUUGACUCGGAGCACAAACUCUUCACAAACCAAAAUGUCAGGACACCAUCGCCAGUGUCCACUGGCCACUGCUGUUGGUGUGAGGCAGCCAGGAGCCCCUCAGAACUAGUAAGUCUGAGAAGAGGCUGCACGGGGCCUAGGAGAGGGAGAAAUGAGCCCGUCCAAGGUGAAUUCCUUGAUUCUCCAUUGUGAGUGCACCAAGAACAAGCACUCCCUCCGACUGACUCUCGCCUACCAGGAUCUGGAACACCUUCCAUUAAUUUAUUCGUUCAUUCAAUAAAUAUUUAUUGACUGACUACACAUAGAUAUGAAUAUGUACUUUUUGCCCCUAGUUUCUUGCUAUUUUAAAAGUGUAAAAAUGGCCAGGUGAGGCCGGGUGCGGUGGCUCAAGCCU